This 800-nucleotide ribosomal RNA is filed under the name uncultured bacterium. Its description in RNAcentral is "bacterial SSU rRNA". It matches the Rfam family "Bacterial small subunit ribosomal RNA", at positions 8 to 803 of the family's 1533-position model. The record is from RNAcentral.
AGAGUUUGAUCCUGGCUCAGAUUGAACGCUGGCGGCAUGCUUUACACAUGCAAGUCGGACGGCAGCACGGACUUCGGUCUGGUGGCGAGUGGCGAACGGGUGAGUAACAUAUCGGAACGUAUCCAAUAAUGGGGGAUAACUAAUCGAAAGGUUGGCUAAUACCGCAUACGCCCUACGGGGGAAAGCUAGGGACCUUCGGGCCUGGCGUUAAUGGAGCGGCCGAUAUCUGAUUAGCUAGUUGGUGAGGUAAAGGCUCACCAAGGCGACGAUCAGUAGCUGGUCUGAGAGGACGACCAGCCACCCUGGAACUGAGACACGGUCCAGACUCCUACGGGAGGCAGCAGUGGGGAAUUUUGGACAAUGGGCGCAAGCCUGAUCCAGCCAUUCCGCGUGAGUGAAGAAAGCCUUCGGGUUGUAAAGCUCUUUCGCAAGGGAAGAAAACUUAGUUACUAAUAUUAACUGAGGUUGACGGUACCUUGAUAAGAAGCACCGGCUAACUACGUGCCAGCAGCCGCGGUAAUACGUAGGGUGCGAGCGUUAAUCGGAAUUACUGGGCGUAAAGCGUGCGCAGGCUGUUUUGUAAGUCAGAUGUGAAAUCCCCGAGCUCAACUUGGGAACUGCGUUUGAAACUACAAGACUAGAAUAUGUCAGAGGGGGGUAGAAUUCCACGUGUAGCAGUGAAGUGCGUAGAGAUGUGGAGGAAUAUCAAUGGCGAAGGCAGCCCCCUGGGAUAAUAUUGACGCUCAUGCACGAAAGCGUGGGGAGCAAACAGGAUUAGAUACCCUGGUAGUCCACGCCCU